CCCAAAGGACUUGGCGGUGCCUCAUACCCACCUAGAGGAGCCUGUUCUAGAAUCGAUAAUCCCCGUUCAACCUCACCACCCCUUGUUUGACCCGCCUAUAUACCGCCGUCGUCAGCUCACCCUGUGAAGGUGUUGAAGUGAGCAAAAUGGGUACAACCCAAAACGUCAGGUCAAGGUGCAGCGUAUGAGGUGGGAAGAAAUGGGCUACAUUACCUACCACAGGUUAUUACGGAGGGGGCUGUGAAACCGGCCCCUAAAGGUGGAUUUAGCAGUAAGGGGUAAAUAGAGAGUUCUCCUGAAGCCGGCUCUGAGGCGCGUACACACCGC
RNAcentral lists this ribosomal RNA (327 nucleotides) under Salangichthys microdon (Japanese icefish). RNAcentral's name for it is "partial 12S ribosomal RNA". It matches the Rfam family "Bacterial small subunit ribosomal RNA", at positions 900 to 1393 of the family's 1533-position model. The record is from RNAcentral. Lineage: Eukaryota; Metazoa; Chordata; Actinopteri; Osmeriformes; Salangidae.